RNAcentral lists this ribosomal RNA (1989 nucleotides) under Sphingomonas sp. CFBP 13733. Its description in RNAcentral is "partial 23S ribosomal RNA". It matches the Rfam family "Bacterial large subunit ribosomal RNA", at positions 142 to 2282 of the family's 2925-position model. Lineage: Bacteria; Pseudomonadati; Pseudomonadota; Alphaproteobacteria; Sphingomonadales; Sphingomonadaceae. The record is from RNAcentral.
GGUUAGGUAUCACUUAGCUGAAUAAAAUAGGCUUCGUGAAGCGAACCCGGCGAACUGAAACAUCUCAGUAGCUGGAGGAAAAGACAUCAACCGAGAUUCCGUUAGUAGUGGCGAGCGAACGCGGACCAGGCCAGUGCCUGAAUUUCAACUAGUAGAAGUCUCUGGAAAGUGACGCCAUAGCGGGUGACAGCCCCGUAUACGAAAGUGAGAAUUCAGGACUCGAGUAGGGCGGAACACGUGAAAUUCUGUCUGAACAUGGGGGGACCACCCUCCAAGCCUAAAUACUCGUACAUGACCGAUAGCGAACUAGUACCGUGAGGGAAAGGUGAAAAGCACCCCGAUGAGGGGAGUGAAACAGUACCUGAAACGGAUUGCCUACAAGCAGUUGGAGGGCUUUUAUGGCCUGACAGCGUACCUCUUGCAUAAUGGGUCUGUGACUUAAUGUAUCAAGCAAGCUUAAGCCGAUAGGUGUAGGCGCAGCGAAAGCGAGUCUGAAUAGGGCGCCAGAGUUUGAUGUAUUAGACCCGAAACCCGGCGAUCUAGGCAUGACCAGGAUGAAGGUGCAGUAACAUGCACUGGAGGUCCGAACCGAUUAACGUUGAAAAGUUACCGGAUGAGUUGUGUUUAGGGGUGAAAGGCCAAUCAAGCCGGGAAAUAGCUGGUUCUCCGCGAAAACUAUUGAGGUAGUGCCUCGCACGAACACCUUAGGGGGUAGAGCACUGGAUGGGCUAGGGGGUCGCGAGAUCUACCAAACCUAACCAAACUCCGAAUACCUAAGAGUGAUAUGCGGGAGACAGACGGCGGGUGCUAAGGUCCGUCGUCAAAAGGGAAACAGCCCUGACCUACAGCUAAGGCCCCCAAAUCGUAUCUAAGUGGGAAAGCAUGUGGGACUUCCAAAACAACCAGGAGGUUGGCUUAGAAGCAGCCAUCCUUUAAAGAAAGCGUAACAGCUCACUGGUCUAAACAAGAGGUCCUGCGGCGAAGAUGUAACGGGGCUCAAGAUACGUGCCGAAGCUUAGGGUGUGCCACUUAUGUGGUACGCGGUAGCGGAGCGUUCCGUAAGCCUGUGAAGCGAUCUGGUAAUGGGUCGUGGAGGUAUCGGAAGUGCGAAUGCAGACAUGAGUAGCGAUAAAGAGGGUGAGAUGCCCUCUCGCCGAAAGACCAAGGGUUCCUGCGCAAGGCUAAUCCGCGCAGGGUGAGCCGGCCCCUAAGACGAGCCCGAAGGGGGUAGUCGAUGGGAACCACGUUAAUAUUCGUGGGCCUGGUGGUGUGUGACGGAUCAUGUGUGUUGUCAUCCCUUAUCGGAUUGGGAUGGCUUCGAAAUGGUUCCAGGAAAUAGCCCCACCGUAUAGACCGUACCCGAAACCGACACAGGUGGUCAGGUAGAGUAUACCAAGGCGCUUGAGAGAAGUGUCCUGAAGGAACUCGGCAAAUUGCCUCCGUACCUUCGGAAGAAGGAGGCCCUCACUAUGCGCAAGCACUUUGAGGGGGCACAGGCCAGGGGGUAGCGACUGUUUAGCAAAAACACAGGGCUCUGCUAAGUCGGCUUCAAGACGACGUAUAGGGCCUGACGCCUGCCCGGUGCCUGAAGGUUAAGUGGAGGGGUGCAAGCUCUGAAAUGAAGCCCAGGUAAACGGCGGCCGUAACUAUAACGGUCCUAAGGUAGCGAAAUUCCUUGUCGGGUAAGUUCCGACCUGCACGAAUGGCGUAACGACUUCCCCACUGUCUCCAGGACAUGCUCAGCGAAAUUGAAUUCUCCGUGAAGAUGCGGAGUACCCGCGGUUAGACGGAAAGACCCCGUGCACCUUUACUGCAGCUUCAGAGUGGCAUUAGGAAGAAACUGUGUAGCAUAGGUGGGAGGCUUUGAAGCAUCGGCGCCAGCUGAUGUGGAGCCAUAGGUGAAAUACCACCCUGUUUGUUUCUGAUGUCUAACCUCGUUCCGUAAGCCGGAACAGGGACCCUCUGUGGCGGGUAGUUUGACUGGGGCGG